GCUGAGUUAGUUUAAGUUUUUUUUUUGAAAAUUGAAUGUUAGGGGCAUUUAGAUUAUUUUUCAGUU
This 66-nucleotide transfer RNA is filed under the name Dirofilaria immitis (dog heartworm nematode). RNAcentral describes it as "transfer RNA-Pro". The record is from RNAcentral. Lineage: Eukaryota; Metazoa; Nematoda; Chromadorea; Rhabditida; Onchocercidae.